Molecule: ribosomal RNA, 444 nt
Filed under: Haloquadratum walsbyi J07HQW1
Lineage: Archaea; Methanobacteriati; Methanobacteriota; Halobacteria; Halobacteriales; Haloferacaceae
Description: partial 23S ribosomal RNA
Rfam family: Archaeal large subunit ribosomal RNA
Source: RNAcentral
GGGAUAACAGAGUCGUCACUCGCAAGAGCACAUAUCGACCGAGUGGCUUGCUACCUCGAUGUCGGUUCCCUCCAUCCUGCCUGUGCAGACGCAGGCAAGGGUGAGGUUGUUCGCCUAUUAAAGGAGGUCGUGAGCUGGGUUUAGACCGUCGUGAGACAGGUCGGCUGCUAUCUAUUGGGGGUGUAAGGUACUUGCGAGGAACGCUCGUAUAGUACGAGAGGAACUACGAGUGGGUGCCACUGGUGUAUCGGUUGUCCGACAGGGCAGUCGCCGAGCAGCCACGCACCACAGGGUAAGAGCUGAAUGCAUCUAAGCUCGAAACCUCCCUCAAAAAGAAGUACCAGAGAGGAUCCUUCUAAAAGAGAAGGUAGAUAGACUCGGGGUGUACGCAUCGAGGCAACGAGAUGUUGAGCCCGCGAGCACUAACCAUCCAAGCCAUAUCAU